UUUUUUUUUUUUGUUUUUUUUUUUUUUUGACAGGGUCUUGCUCUGUCACCCAGCCUGGAGUGCAGUGGUGGGUUCACAGCUCACUGCAGCCUCAACUUCUGGGCUCAUGCAAUCCUCCUAUCUCAGCCUUCCAAGUAGCUGGGACUACAGGUAUAUGCCACCACACCUGGCUAAUUUUUUGUAUUUUAGUAUAGACAGGGUUUCACUGUGUUGCCCAGGCUGGUCUCGAACUCUUGAGCUCAGGAAAUCUGCCUGCCUUGCCUCCCAAAGUGCUGGGAUUAUGGGUGUGAGCCACGCGCCCAGCCUAUGCUGUUAUAAGUUCUUGUAAUCUGUUUUUUAAAUACCUAACAUUAUAUCAUGCACAUCUUUCUAUAUUAAUAAACAUACAGCUAUGUAAUCUUUAAUAAGAGUGCAUAGUAUUCCAUUGAAUGAAUUGACCAUACUUUAAUCAAUCUGCAAUUACUAGUGCUCAUAUGUGUUCUGAAUUUUAUCUUUAUAAGCAAGACAGUGACGGACACUUAUUUAUAUAUAUCCCCAUGUGCUUUCUAACUAUUUUUCAUAGACACCCAAGUCUGAUCUCCGUUUAUUUCUGGAAUAAGGUACAUUAUAAGGCACACUCCUUUUUUAACUUUUAAAUAUAUUUUUACUGGAACACAGACUUUGUACAUUGAUCUCAAAUGCUAUGACCUUUACAUAAUCAUGCUGUGUGAAAUAGUUUUAUUUCUUUCUUUUCAAUUUUUACCUAAUUUUUUUUUUCACAUAGUGUGCUGGCUAGGAUUUCCAAUACAAGAUAAAUGUUUGAAGCAAAACAUCGUGGCUUUGUUUCUAACCUUAGGAGAAAGCAUUCGUUCUUGCAUGAUUUACAUGACACUAAGUGUAAACUUUUCGUAGAUCACUUUUCAAGGUUGAGAAGGUUUUGUUCCAUUUCUAGUUUUGUGAGUUUUUAUCAUGAAUGGGUACUGAACUUUGUCACUUUUUUUCUGGAUCUAGCAAGGUGAUAUGAU
RNAcentral lists this long non-coding RNA (1004 nucleotides) under Macaca mulatta (Rhesus monkey). Its description in RNAcentral is "lncRNA (ENSMMUG00000057938.1)". Lineage: Eukaryota; Metazoa; Chordata; Mammalia; Primates; Cercopithecidae. The record is from RNAcentral.